This 975-nucleotide ribosomal RNA is filed under the name Triticum aestivum (bread wheat). Its description in RNAcentral is "partial small subunit ribosomal RNA". Lineage: Eukaryota; Viridiplantae; Streptophyta; Magnoliopsida; Poales; Poaceae. The record is from RNAcentral.
AUGGCGCGUGCUCGUAUUCCCGAGCCUAAGAUGGACCUCUGCCUACCUCCCACGUUCGCGUAUCUUGAUCGAAGGGCUGGUAUGACUACAAAGAAGAUGCCAGGUCCAGUUGUGGCAGCAGAGUGGACCUGCACGAACCGAGGGGGACAUAAGAACAACGACUCUGUGCUUAACAAUCCUACAAACAACUUUCUUCUCAUGCUGCCUCCUCUCUUCUGCAAGGAGUGUCACCGUGUGAACCCUGCAGGGUAUUGUUGGGAUAUCCCGCACAUCAGCAUAAGGGAUGUGUUACUUGAUUUUCUCGUCCGGAAUCAAGGAGAUUACAAUACGAGCGUGGCGCAUGCAUUCUUGACUGCUGUGGAUGCCAUGCGCACGAUCCAUGAAGCAUUUACAUUUAGAGCAGAGCCUGGCACGGAACUCGAUGAUGGGCAUCUCUUCACCACGUACAUGCGUAUCUUCAAGACAGCAUUUGGCUACGAGACCGGUCCAUGUGCGCACCUGCGAUUUAAGAGGCCGGAAUGUAUCGCUUACAUCUUACAGAAUCACGGUGUGGGUUUUGAUUGCUCGAGCAUGCAGGACGGUUAUCGACAGAGGGCCACACCAGAUUUCACCCAGAAGAUAGGCAAAGUCUUUCGCAUAGCUAAUCGCGGCGGCGUUGGGCGCAUCGAGCAAAUCAUUAGGCUGAUAGCUGGAGGAUUCCCUCUGUUUUGUCAUUAUGCUGCUGGGAGAGCAUUCGACUUUGUGGAUGGAAACGAGGUAUAUCAUGCUCCUGCCAAGGCUGGCAUAAAUCACGCUGCAGUCUUGAUCGGAUCAGGCGUACAUGAGUAUCCAGGUGAAGGAUCCAAGAUUUACCUCCGCGCACGGGGUUCCAGGGAUGACGCCGCUAAUCCUCAAUCUGCUCUCCAAGGGAAAGGUGGAGACUUCAACAUUUGGGCGGAAGACGUCACUGAUGUGCUGGGGUUCCAUCUAGCCUGA